Phascolarctos cinereus (koala) is the source of this 298-nucleotide non-coding RNA. The record is from RefSeq and is a predicted model, not a curated record. NCBI's taxonomy places the organism in Eukaryota, Metazoa, Chordata, Mammalia, Diprotodontia, Phascolarctidae.
GCUGGUCAAGGUGAUCUUCCUCCAGUCCAUUGCUUUGAAUCCAAGGCCUCACGUUCACCCCAGGUGCAGACACAACACUUCAUUCACAAUCAGGCAAGCAGAAUGGAGCUGGCUUCUUCCAUGCUUUUCUUCUGGCUCCAUCAGUCCUGCAUCCAAGGUCUAGCUUCUCAGAUCUGGGGUUCUUCAUGUCAGGAAAGUCCAGCCCACACCACUGCUAUAGGCCAGCCCCCCCCCCCACCACACCAUGGCCAUGGUUCUGGCCUCUGAUGCUGCCCUUGCCCUCUGGGGGGGAAAAAAA